RNA transcript from Lynx canadensis (Canada lynx), 1498 nucleotides. It is a transcript of the gene named glycoprotein IX platelet, with no coding region annotated. The transcript is spliced from 5 exons. Lineage: Eukaryota; Metazoa; Chordata; Mammalia; Carnivora; Felidae. The record is from RefSeq and is a predicted model, not a curated record.
CCACUCGAGCAGCGCCCACCAUCUGCUGCCUCACAUCCAGCUGCCAACUCAGCCUCCACCAGGACAGUUCAAGCCACAGAAGAGGGUGCCGACUGCAGGCCUCACAACAUCCAGUUUUCGGCAUUGGCUUUCACCUAAGAGUUCACUCGGCCUCGGGGCGAGCUGUUUGGCGUGGUUGGGAGGAGGUGUGGUCUGUGAAAUCCACACUGGCUGCCUGACCCCAGGCUUAGAGCCACGCUCACCAUCCUGCCUUCUGAGUGUCCAGUGAGGCUCAGCGAGGCCUGGGUGGGACUCAUUACACUUGCUUCUGUCUUCACCACCCCAUUUCAACACAGGAGAAAGUUGAGGCCUGAGAACGGAGCCAGCCUGCCAAUGCCUGCCUGGGGGGCCCUGUUGCUGCUCUGGGCUGCCGCAGAGGCCACCAAGGACUGCCCGGCGGAGUGCACCUGCCAGGCCCUGGAAACCAUGGGGCUGUCGGUGGACUGCAGGGGGCGGGGGCUCACAGCCCUGCCCACCCUGCCCACCCAGACCCGCUACCUCCUGCUGGCCAAUAACAGCCUUAGCUCCGUGCCUCCGGGUGCCUUCGACCACCUGCCCCAGCUACAGGUCCUCGACGUGACGCAGAACCCCUGGCACUGCGACUGCAGUCUCACCUACCUGCGUCUCUGGCUGGAGGACCGCACGCCCGAGGCCCUGCUGCACGUCCGCUGCGCCAGCCCCAAGCUCGCCACGGCCCACCCCUUGGGCCAGCUCACGGGCUAUGAGCUGGGCAGCUGCGGCUGGCACCUGCAGGCAUCCUGGGCCUACCCGGGCUUCUGGUGGGACGUGGCGCUGGUGGUCGUGGCCACGCUGGGCCUGGCUCUCCUGGCUGGCCUGCUGUGCACCGCCACAGAGACCCUGGACUGAGCCCAGGACCCUAGGGUCACUCCCCCCAGCCUGAGCCCCCAGUAACCCAAAAUAAACUGCUCAACCAUUGUAUCCAAGCUCAGAAAAAUUGUGUUUCCUCUCGGUACCCAAGUCUGGCUCCUCCUGGAAACCUGGGUCCGUUUAGUUAUAACCUGAUAUCAACUGGGGCUUCUCUGUCCCCCAGGUUCCUAGUAAAAUGGGCUGUUCCACCUCCCCCACGCCAGCCACCCCCAAUUCCACCAUCUGUGGACAUCCCGAGCCCUUCUUCGGUGCCUGACAGGUCCCAGGACUCCGGUCCGCACGCUCUCCUCUGUCCCAGCGCCCACACGGAACACUCUGGAGGGCCCAGGCGAAUUUCACAUCAACACGUGGCUCCCGUCCAAAUUCUGCAGAAAGCUGGCUCUCACGACACAGCAGUGAGCAAGCGGGAGGCUCAGAAGACCCCGGGCAGGUGCUGACAUCAGACACCUCAAACUCUGGAGUCCCACUUGUACCCCAAGCAGUGGUCACCAAAUUCUUCAAACAAGACUCUUCUCUCCCUCAGAGGAUUCUGGUGCCAGCAGUUAAACUAAUAAAACAUUUCUCCACUGUA